Molecule: transfer RNA, 73 nt
Filed under: Cordylochernes scorpioides
Lineage: Eukaryota; Metazoa; Arthropoda; Arachnida; Pseudoscorpiones; Chernetidae
Description: tRNA-Thr
Source: RNAcentral
GUCCAGGGGCGGGAAUCGAACCCACAACCUUCUGCUUACAGGGCAGGUGCCAUGUCCACUAGGCUACCCUGGA